AAUGAAGUGAGAGUAUUUUGGACAAUAAGCUGGAAAACCUAGUGAAGAGAGCUUAAGUAAGGAGAAACACGAGAGAUAAAUGAUCUUUCUGGCAGUGGCAAUGUCUUCAUCAAAUACCUCAUUGCUCAAUAGGGAAAUCUGAUGCUUAACACAGAACAAAGAACAAGCUGGU
This is a long non-coding RNA of Tympanuchus pallidicinctus (lesser prairie-chicken), 172 nucleotides long. RefSeq lists it as uncharacterized. NCBI's taxonomy places the organism in Eukaryota, Metazoa, Chordata, Aves, Galliformes, Phasianidae. The record is from RefSeq and is a predicted model, not a curated record. The transcript is spliced from 3 exons.